This is a long non-coding RNA of Haliotis rubra (blacklip abalone), 1168 nucleotides long. RefSeq lists it as uncharacterized. NCBI's taxonomy places the organism in Eukaryota, Metazoa, Mollusca, Gastropoda, Lepetellida, Haliotidae. The record is from RefSeq and is a predicted model, not a curated record. The transcript is spliced from 2 exons.
UCGAAUUAUGACUGCGCUGAACGAACAAAGACCGCAAAAACCGAAAUCAAUAAAGUGUUCCAACACACUCUAGACAUGUCUGGACGCAUAACCAUCACUGACCACAGUAUGCACAGCGGUGCACACCAGGAAAGACGAUCGAAGAAGAAACAUAUAUAGCCAUUACCUUUAGCUUGAGGGAACUAAAUGGCGCCAAACGCAAGAACUGCGAAUAUCAAGAUGUUAAAUGAACUGAGAAUUCGAAGUUUCAUGGCCUCUAAAAUGCUAUACGAACAGUCAACCAGAUACAGUAACUAUGCUUUUUGGGCAGUGGUGGUAGCUAGUGGUCUUAUGGGUGUAGCUGCUGCUAACCUAUGUGAUUAUCUCCCCGUGGGUGAUGGUCAGAACAGAUGGGUUUCAGCAUCUAAGAUGCUCAUCGGAGUGGUCUCUGGAUUCGCAGUCUCAUUUCAAACGGGCAGAAUCUUUCUCAUUGAUUACUUUGAAAAGAAACAGCGAAUCUAUAACGAAACAGCAUCAGGUUGGCAAAAGCUGGAAUUGGACAUUGAAUUAUUUCUUAACUCUAUCGAGAUCACAACCACAGACAGAGAUAUCAGAGAGUUUACAAGUGAAUGUAUAAAACAACGGGAUUAUAUAUGCUCCAAGUCAAAACCAGAGGAAGACAUUUAUCAGAAAUACCAUAAUAACCCCGAUUUAGUGAUCAAGAAGUAUCAGAAAAAAAACUCUGUCAUUGCGUACAUUCUACAAAAACUUGAUCGGGAGGAAGAAGCAGAAGGAGAAGAACAUCAAGAGGAUCAUGAUGAUGAAUCAGACCUGGUUUGUUGGGCUUGUCUUCCCUUUGGUGUAUAUUUUUGUAUUCUGUACAGUCCGAUCAAAUUCUUUAUGAAGUAUGUCAACGAAAGUCGAUGCAAUUACCACCGUGAACAUUUUAUUUAAGAAAUCGAGUGUAAAAGGUAUGCUGUGGGUCUCUAUAGAAAUGAGUGAGCUGGCUUUUGAGAGACAAGACAAGACAAGGGCCCAAAGGUGGAGGUACAUUGGUAUUCUCAAGUUACGCAACUCAGCUAAUUGCGGUGCCUGAGACGACUAAACCCCACACCUCCGUUUCUCUAUUUACUGCUAUGGUACAUAGAUUGCAUGUAAUUGUGCAUGUUAUAUAUAUUCUAACAUCUCU